Molecule: long non-coding RNA, 1208 nt
Organism: Triticum aestivum (bread wheat)
Lineage: Eukaryota; Viridiplantae; Streptophyta; Magnoliopsida; Poales; Poaceae
Exons: 4
Source: RefSeq, a predicted model, not a curated record
GAAGGAGGCACGACGAUGCCGGUCUCCUAUUCCCUAGGUACGCCGCCGCCGCGUCUGUCGAUCUCUCUUCGCUCUAGGCCACUGCUACUCUUGCAGCCGCCGUUUCCAGUUUCCACUCAUCCCCAAACCUGGUUCCUCCCGAUCCCUCACCUCUUACAACCGAGGAUGAAUCAUUGGUGUGCUGCCACCUUGAGCGAGAUGCCGCCGAUGCGCAAGGAAGAUGUGAAGGGGCAGAACUACACUCGCAACCGGCAACCCUAUUGAGGCUGCAGCGGUGGACGCCCCUUGACGGGCAGGCGGCGAGAAUGGCGCGGUGAAGAACUCUCGCGUCCUGAUUCCAGUUCGAUGUCGCAUUUGACAACCGGCGCCAGGGAGAAGGUCAAUGCUAAGCAACCAAGCAGUAGGAUUAUCCGUCCGGUUCUAUCAAUUUUUGCAGUCGUUGUGUCCGUGUUGUGUUCGUUGGCCGGUGACCGAUUCAGUUUUGCAUAUGGGGAUAUUAAUGUGGAUAUUUGAUUUUUAGUUCAAGUAAUUGGGUUCCUGCCAUUUCUAUCUGUACAUACAUCCAAUUUCUAAGCAUCAGAGGUAAUCAGUCCAGUCAACCAGAAGGUUUUGAUUCUCUACCUGUCGGCAUUAGUCUGUACUGUACUCUUGUGCCUGUUUUCUGCCUGCCCCCUGUCUCCUAUGUGGCUCUCUGAAUCCUGCUGGCAUGUAGAUGACUUAUUUGGCCUUCUGGAAGAUGUCUCUUGAUUUAUAAACUCGAGAUGGUUGGUGUGGAUUAUGAGCACACACGCACACCUUGCCGCUGGUUGGUGUGGAUUCGUAAAGCAGGAGCCUCUCCUUCAGCGAGGCGGCAGGUGGGAGAAAGAUUGAUAAAAUGGUGGUGCCCGGCGGCUGGGAGGACCACGGCGAGCCUCUCCUUCAGUGAACUUUGUUCCUUGAGUUGAUCACAUGGCUGAAGAAAAUAACACGCGAAGAUAUUAAUUAUUAUAUUAAUGUACGUACAAUAUAUGUUAGUUCCUCUGAAGAAAAUAACAUGUGAAGAUAUAUUCUUAUUAAUGUAUAGCAUAUGUCGACUUUGAUGAUUUGUACUUAUCAAGUGUUAAGAUUUUGCUUAUUUUUCUUUUAGGAAAGGAAGCUAUUUUCUGUAUUGUACCAAUAUAUUCCAAUGUUCUUUUAUUAUUGUACAACAUAUGUAGACUUUGCUGAUU